Xenopus laevis (African clawed frog) is the source of this 291-nucleotide long non-coding RNA. RefSeq lists it as uncharacterized. NCBI's taxonomy places the organism in Eukaryota, Metazoa, Chordata, Amphibia, Anura, Pipidae. The record is from RefSeq and is a predicted model, not a curated record. The transcript is spliced from 3 exons.
UAUAUUUCAGUGUCUUCCUGUGAUUUGUGCAGAGUUGACAGCAAAGAGAAGUGAGCAGCAGAGCACAGAACGGAAAAGAGUCUCAGUGUCUAAUUACAGAUUGCAUAAAGAGGCAGUGACUCACACAAUUCCUUGGCAUGCCACUGCAGGAGGGCAGCAUCAUGUGAUGAACAUUGCAAGAUAACAACAUAUUCCUAUAAAUGACCCCAAGUUUUCAGCUGACGGUUCCCCAGCCUUAUCCAGUAUCGAAGUAUCAGAUACUUUCAGGCCUUUGAUCCAAUAAAAGUGACA